CAGUAGCCGGUAAUACGUAGGGUGCAAGCGUUAAUCGGAAUUACUGGGCGUAAAGCGUGCGCAGGCGGUUUGUUAAGACAGAUGUGAAAUCCCCGGGCUCAACCUGGGAACUGCAUUUGUGACUGGCAAGCUAGAGUGUGUCAGAGGGGGAUGGAAUUCCGCGUGUAGCAGUGAAAUGCGUAGAUAUGCGGAGGAACACCGAUGGCGAAGGCAAUCCCCUGGGCCUGCACUGACGCUCAUGCACGAAAGCGUGGGGAGCAAACAGGAUUAGAUACCCCCCGUAGUCCCUGUCUCUUAUACA
RNAcentral lists this ribosomal RNA (301 nucleotides) under uncultured bacterium. RNAcentral describes it as "partial 16S ribosomal RNA". It matches the Rfam family "Bacterial small subunit ribosomal RNA", at positions 509 to 808 of the family's 1533-position model. The record is from RNAcentral.